Molecule: non-coding RNA, 8073 nt
Organism: Parasteatoda tepidariorum (common house spider)
Lineage: Eukaryota; Metazoa; Arthropoda; Arachnida; Araneae; Theridiidae
Source: RefSeq, a predicted model, not a curated record
AUUUCUUUCCGGUUUUUUGGUUUUCCGGUUUUCUGAUUUCCGGAUAACGGGUUCUGUACUGUAAUUGACUUUCUUAUAUUGUAAAAUUGUUUAUUUAACUAAAAAUUAUUUAUUCUAUUUUGUGUAAGUAAACACAGGAAAAUCACAAAAUCUGUUAUCCCAAUUAUGAUUUAACACCUUUUGUUAACCAUUAAAAUUAUAAUUAUUUAUGAAAAAUUUUCUUCGUUUUUAGCGUAAAAACUUUUAUUUAUUGUUAAAGAUUUGGAAAAAUAUGGAAGUCUUGAAUGCAAUUUAGCAAGUGAAGGAAGAGAGAGGUACUCCUUUAAUUCUUUAUUGAUUUUUUUUUAAUCGACUUCUGGCUUGAAGUUCUUUAUUUUUUCACAUGAUUCUAUUGACUAGGUGCUAUAUAUAUUAUUUUUUUAGUUAUAUAAUUUACUACUACACAGUAUUAGUAAAGAACCUCAUGUAAUUAUAAUUCAUUGAUUUUGAAUAUAAUGUUUAAGGAAUUAUAGAAUUUUUAAAAAUUGAAAUUCAUGUUUUAUAAUUAAAAAGGUUUAUAUAGUUAUUUCGAAAAUGUUGGAAUUUGAUAUUGUUCCGGUUUAAUACUUUGUUAAAAAUUCAUUAGUUAAUGCAUUCAGGUAGUUUUAUCUCCCAUUAAUAUAAGUUGCAAUUUUAUAUUGUUCUUGUUUAAUACUUUGUUAAACUUUAUUAGUUAGUGCAUUCAGGUAGUUUUAUCUCCCAUUAAGUAUAAGAAGAAGAUGCAAUUUGAUAUUGUUCCGGUUUAAUACUUUGUUGAAAAUUUAUUAGUUAAAAUGCAUUCAGGUAGUUUUAUCCCUCAUUAAGUAUAAGAAGGUAACUCGUGUGUUGACGAAAUAACAUUUUCCUUUACAAAAUUGUUAUAACUGAUGUUAUACUUAAUAAAUUGUUAAAUGUUUUAUUCUUUCGAAAGAUAUUUAAUGGAAAUUUUAUGAUAAAAACUUUAAAAUACUGUUGUAUAAAAAUAAUUACUUAUAAUUGUUAAAUAAUAGUUUUGAUCAUUUAAAGUGCUCAAAUUACACAAAAAAGCUAAAUAUUUCUUUCAAUUAUUCAAUUUUUUAAAAUUUUUUUUACCUUGGAUAAAUUUUAGUUAUUUUUAGUAAUUUAAUUUAAAUCAGUCUUUCUUUCUUUUUUUUAUAUUUAAUGACAUAAUUAACUGUCCAAGUAAUUUUUAUUUUGUGAUUUUUCUGGUUUUUUUCUUCUUAUUUUUAAGAAAGAAAUUGUUUACUAAUCCGGUGAUUGUAAUAUUCACUAAAGUAAAUUGGGAAAAUGCUAUUAGAAAUUGUUAGAUUGUGUACCCGGUAAUUACAUUUUGUACAUAUUUUACUUGUUGAAUAAUCAAAUAACUUUGUCUAUUUAUAUUUCUAAUUUUUGUUUUGUUAAUAUCAUAAAUUUAUGUAUCAAAAUUUUAUGUAAUCAAAUAUUUAUACAGUAUGUGCGUAAUGUUUCUAAAAUCAAACAGUUCAGUGCAAUUUUUUAUUUUUAUUGUUGCAUAAGAAUUUUCAAUCCUUCCUGUGAAUUAUUUUUUCUCCAAAUUUUGUAAAAAAAGGUAUUGCACUAAUUUGUAUUUCUAAAUUCUCUAUUUUGAUGUUCUUUGUUUGCAGUAAAGAUAAUGAUAUUGAUACUCAAUUAAUUGUAUAUUCUAAAAUCAUUAUUAGUUUAGUUUUGCAUAACCUCUAUUUUUGUUAAAAGGAGUAUUGUUCCAUAUUAAGUUACACCCAGAAUUAAUAAUUCUUAUUUAUGUUAUGCAUAACAUGUGUUAAAAAGAAUAUUAUUGCACACUAAAUUUUACUCUAAAAUUAUUCUCUUUGUUUCUAAAUUUUGUUUAUAGUGAAAGGAAUGUAGUUUCAUAGUAAAUACAGUAUUUAGUGUGGCGUAACAUGGAAAGUAAUCAACUAUUUUCAGCAUUUUAGAAUUUUCUAUGUAUUUAAUAUUUAGUAUUAUAUAUUUAAAAAGCGUACUGUACUAAAAUUUUGUAACUUGAACUUCGAAAUGUGAUGUUUUGAAUCCUUUCUAACACAGAUAGUUCAAAAUUAAAAACAAGAUUACAAUUGUAAAUUGGAUGGUAAAAAAAAAUAUGGAAAUUCUAUUAACCCCUUAACGUGUGUUUGAGAUAAUUUGAGCUGGGUUGUAUUUAUUUUCUCUAACCUGAAUAUAAUCAGGAAUUAAGAAAUUAACAAUAUGAAGGCAAAGAAAUUUUUUUUAAAAAUUGAUAUUAAUUAUUAUAAUAGGAUCGUAAGUUAUAACAUUUGCAGGGCUGCCACUCCACAGGAAAAACCUUGAAAAUACAGGGAAUUUAGAAAUCACCUAAAAUAACAUAGGAAAUGCAGGGAAAUUUGAUUUUUUCUUUACAAUCUGGGAAAAUACAGGGAAUUUUGUCUUUUAAAAAAUGGUGACCACUCAAAGCCUAAUCUACGGGAUAUUUAACCACAGUAUUUCAGCUAUACUAAACUAUUUCAUUUACUAUUGCAAUGUUUAAGUAUGUUCAGGAAAAACCUGGAAAAUGCAGGGAAUUUAAUGAUCACUCAAAAUAACAGGGAAAAUGCAGGGAAUUUUGAUUUUUUCUUUUCAAACUGGGAAAAUACAGGAAAUCUUGUUUCUUAUUUUUGUCUUUUAAAAAAUGGUGAUCAAUCAAAGCCUAAUCUACGGAAUAUUCAACCUUGGUAUUUCAGCUGUACGAAACUAUUUCUUUUACCAUAGCAUUAUUUAAGUAUGUUCAGCUGUUUUUCUAGCAAUUAAAACUAGUAAAUAUAGUUAGCCCAAUAUCGCUCACACAAGAAUGCAGUAAUUGGUGUUUCCUCUUAAUAUAAUAUGUGAUAUAUGUACAGGGAUAACACGGGGAAUUUUUUUUUCUUUCUGGAUUUGAGUGGCAACUCUGAUUUGUGUAUUAAAAAAUAAAAGCCUUUUACCAGAGAACAAAAAAAAAAACCCACAAAAAACCCCCCCACCACUAUUGCGCAAGCUGCGCUAUUUGGUGACUGAUUGCUAUUCGUUGUUGUAAUUUGGUGAAUUUAUAUCAAGGCCAUAUUGCAGAAAGAUUAUAAAAGUUGGUGUGCACGCAAGAAUAGUCUCUUAUAUGCAAUGUGGAUCAACAUUCAAAUAAGAAAUUUGAUUUAUUUUUUAUUUUUGUAAUGUUUUUUUUUGCCAAAACAAGGUUUUAAAAUGUGUUAUCUGUUUUUUUUUAUAAUAAAAAAAAAUAGUAUGCGUUAAGGGGUUAAAUACUAUACUACCUCUGAGAAAAGUAGUAUGGGCUUUGAGUCUUUAACUUUUCAAAUUUUUUCUCUAGAAGUUCAGAGCUUACAGAUAGAAUAAUGAAAGAAAUAUUUUUCUUUUUUAUCAAAUUAUUCUUAGAUAGCAAUCCAGGGAAAAUCUUAGAAUAAGUUAUUUUUGCAUUAAAAAUAUAAUUUUCUAAGCUAUUAUAGAUUAGUUACGAUCAUCAACAAAAUACUGUUAAACAAAACAUUUAUCUUUGGAGGAAAUAUACAUUCUUACUUUGUUUUUUUGUAAGUUUUCAAUAUCUCGCAAAUUUUAUAAAACAAAACAUGUUUUUGCUUUAUUUGUUUAAUUGGAAAAUUUACUACAAAGCUUUUGUAUGAAGUGGCGUUAAAAUGUUUAAACAUAAAAUAUAUAGUCAUUGGACUACUAUAAUGAUCCUUUUCAGGCAGAAGGAAAAAAUGUAAAUUUAAAGUUACUGUGUUAUAUGAACAACAAUGUUUAAUGUAAACAUAAAAUGUGAUUUAAAAAAAAAAGAAAUAAUUGCUUUAUUAUAAAUGGCUCGUGUAAUCUUGUUUUGAAUAUUACAUCAGCUAAAUUGAUUUUGAUAAAUUCCCUUUCUUAUAAAACAAAUUAUUGUGUUAUAAUUUAAUAAUUUUUUUUUUAACAUCUGAAGUAAAGUUUGAUUUUUUUUAAUAUAAAUUGUUUUUAAUUUAAUAUACAGCAGAAUAAAUAAAAUAUGCAAAUGUAUUUUUUUAAUUUUAUGGUUUUAGGUAAAAUAACUUUGAGGUAAAAUAUUUCUCAAAAACCAGCUUAUCUAAAACUGUUUAGAUUGAUUUAACACUUUUUAACUUCUAUAAAUAGUAGAAUGAUUUCGAUUCCAAAAUACACUGUAUUAGAAUUGAUUUGCUGUGUGCUACAUUAAAAAUUUUUGAUUUACUUGACGAAAAUUAAUUUAUUAUGUUCUCAAAUCUAGAAUUUUAAGAAAAGGAUCAAUAUAGCAUACAUUGACUGCUUGCAAGCUUCAUUACAAAUUAUUACAUUUAAAUAUUUACUGACAAUUUAGACUUAUUUAAGCAAUGUAUUUGUUUAAUUGAUGAUAUCUAAUAAAUAUUACAACUACUUCAAAACUAAUAAAAUGCAUUGCUACGGUUAUGAAAUUCUUACUAGAUUAUGAUUAAAUUAUGAAAAUAGUUUUUAUUCCUACUUUUCUUUGUUUUAAUAUUAGUACUUUAAAUAGCCUGUUCUUUUAAUUGAUUAUCUUAUAAAUGAAAUACUGAUCAAAUUCUAUAAAGGAAUUAUUUUUGUGAACAAUGUAUUUAGUAUUGAAUACAUUAAUUUUCAAUAGUCAGAAAUACUUAAUCGAAUCGAUCUGCAAUUGUUUAACACUUGGAAUAUCUUAAAUUGACUUAUUUCCUUAUUUAAUUUAUAUUAGUUUUUAAUAAUCUGAGUGGAGCUCUUAUUAUAAAUUUAUUUACAAAACUAAAGUUAAAUUGUUAAAUUCUGAUCUUGUUUUGUUUGAUGUUUCUCUUAAAAUCAACUUAUCUGUUUUCAACAAAUAAUAGUAAUAAUUCCGUUAGAUUGCAAUUUUAUAUUUGUUUGACAUUUUCCAGGGCAAAGAUUCCUUUUGUAAGAAUUUUUAAUACUUAAUAAUAUUUUAUUAUUAUUAGUUUCAUUAUGGUAAACUACAUAUCUUUAUAUAUUAAAUGAUGUGGACCAUAUUUAAUGUAUUUAUAAUAAAUAAGUAAAUAUCAACUGAUGUGAUUUUGAAUAAUUCUGAAAUUUGCAAUAUAAAAUUGCUAUAUAAUAUUUGAUAGUUUGUAUUUGAAAAUGUUUGAAUGUCAGGUUAAGUUAUUCAUUAUUCUGCUUCAUAAUUUUUUUUUGCGGUACAUGAAAUUUCUUUUUUUAAUGUACCUCAAAAAAUUUAUGCUCCUAUUUAUUGUAACACGUGUAAGAAUUAUGCUUCGUUUGAUUGCCAUCACCUAUGUCUGUGUACAAAUUUUUUUAUUGGUUACACAAUAUGUACUACUUGAACGUAUCUAUUUUUUUAUAAUAUACUUUUGAAUCAAAAUUUUUUAUUAGUGCAUUCAAUAAUUCAAGGAUUUAUUUAUAAAUGAUUUCAUAACAGUUCUCUUAAAUGGAACAAAGUAUCUAAAUUCAGUUAAUAUAUUUGUUGAAAUGAAACUUUUUUUUACAGUAGUUAAAUAUUUAGAGAUUUAUUAAUAUUUUUAUUCUAUUGUUAUAAUAAACAUCAAAAUCUUCAAAAUUUGUGCAUAUAAGUCUGUACUUUAUAAUUGAAGCUAUAUAUACAAAAUGCAUUGUAAAUUGUUUUCGGAAGGAAAAUUUUUUUAUUUAAUUGUUUCGGUUAAUCUUUUUUUUUUUUUCCAGUUUAAAAUGGUGUAAGUUCCUUUAUGUAGGUAUCUUGGAAAAAUUUAUAAAUUAAUUAAAUUUGUUAUUUUAUUAAUUAUGACUCUUUUUUUAUUAAUGUUUGCUCUACAGGAAAGUUUUUAGUGAAUAUUGUUACUAUGUCUCACAAAAUCAGAAAAUAGGUUAAAAUUACCAGUAAUGGUUAAAUGAACUUAUCAAUUCCUUUUUAAGCAGCCCUUUUGUGAUUUUAAUUUUGUUUAAUUAAAUUUGCGAAUAAUCCAACCAAACACUGAAUUAAUUUUAACAAAAUCAAUCUUUUUUUUUUUUUUUUUAAAUAUAAAUUUUUUUAAACAUGUUUUUUUUGAGUAAGUUGUAUUUUUUGUGUGGAAAAAGCUGCAUAGUUUAUGUUUUAAAAAGGAUGAUAGUAACAUUUAAUUCUAGUUUUUUCUUUUUUUUUAAAGCAUUUUGCAAAUUUUGUGAGGAUUUCUUUUAUAAGUGAUAAAAUAAAGUUUAUAAGGUGUAUUAAUCAUAAGAUAAUACGCAAGUCAUUGUUGAUUUUAACUUUUUUCACAUAUAGACACAAACUUUUUAUUGUUCGCUUAAGUAUUUUUUGCAGAGAACUUCUUGUAAAAAAUUUAAUUUUUUGUUAAAAAAAAUUCUUUAAAAACCUUAAAAUAAUGCAGGCGAUAAAAUUACAUGAAACAUUAUAAAUUAGUUAAACUAGUUUAUUAUUUUUGCACAUCUUUUUUUUCUUCUUAGUGACACACUAAACAUGUUGUUCAUUGUUAAAUCUUUCAUAAUUAACACACUUUAGUGUGCAAUCUAUUUUGUUUUACAUGACGAUACACAGUUUGGGUCUUUAGCGCUACAUUUUACAUUUAUAUGUAGUUUUUAAAUUGCAUCACACUGCACAAUCACAGUUUAGGUAGUUUUUCUUUUUUUGUUGUGUGUUUUAUAAGAUUUGAAUACCGGUUCUUUUUAUCUCCCAAGUUUGUACAGAAUUUUAUUUUAUAGAUUUCUUUGUUGGUGUAUAUCUUAGUUCUAUCUUGUAUGUUUGAAAUAACUAUAUUUUAAAAAAUCUUAAAUAUAUAUAUAUAAUUUUUGUUUCUAUGCUUGUCUGUAUUGUAGCUGUCGCAUGCUAAGAGAAUUAGAAUUCAUUUUUAAGUUUGUAAGAAAUCAUACUAAUUAAGUAAUGUUAUGUGAUUUAAGUAAAUGUGUUUUUUCCCCCCUUACCUAAUUGACUCGAAUUGUAAUGAAGUUUGUUGAAUAAAAAACUUAGUGGAAAAACAUGUUAAGUUACAUUUUGAUGGCACUCAUUUUUCAAUAGGAACAAAUUUACUUUUUGAAAAGACUAAUUUUACAGGCAUAAGAAACAUGUUGAGCUACUUCUUGGAAACAAUAAUUUUCCAAGCAUAAAACUAGGAAUUUCAUUAACUACACAAUUUAAUGUUUACUACUAAACUAUGGAAAGGUUUUAAAAAUUUCGAAUCAUAUUUAUUUUCUAGUGACUGCAUAUUUUCUGUUAACUUUUUUUUCAAUUUGUAAGUGACUCUUAUAAUAAAAAUAUUUCCCCCCUGCAUUUUAGGAAUAAAUUCUUAUUUCUCUAUGCAUAAAGAGCCUUAUUUGUUAGGUAAAUAUUAUUCAUCGAUGUUAUUAUUAACAAAUAACAAAAGAUCUGUCACUAGAAAAUUAAGUAUGGAAAAAGUAUAUUAAAGUAUGGAAAGGUUUUAAAAAUUUCGAAUCAUAUUUAUUUUCUAGUGACUGCAUAUUUUCUGUUAACUUUUUUUUCAAUUUAUAAGUGACUCUUAUAAUAAAAAUAUUUCCCCCCUGCAUUUUAGGAAUAAAUUCUUAUUUCUCUAUGCAUAAACAGCCUUAUUUGUUAGGUAAAUAUUAUUCAUCGAUGUUAUUAUUAAGAAAUAACAAAAGAUCUGUUAUGUCUGACUUAAAAUAUUUAUACAAUCGAAAUGAAUUUAUUUCAAAUUCUGUGUAUUAAUAAAUUUAAUUCUUUUAUUUCAUGCUUUUAAAUUAUAUAAAAAGAUUUUUUCCUCAGUAUUAAAGGUUUUCAUCCUUGUAUAGGACACCUUUUCCUUUGGUUCAAGGCUUUAAAUAGGGUGGUUUAAAAUAGAGUAAACAGUGUUUCCAUGCAUUUUAAAAACUGAUUCUUGUAAUAAGUUUUUCCACUAAGAUCAUCUUCAAGUGUUGUUUGAUUGCCAUGUGUUCACUUAAUGCAAUGUUAUAUAACCUAGAAGCUGCCAUAAUGUGAGAAUCCUAAUAAAGCACUUCAUCUUAAAAAUUCUAAUGUGGUGAGAGAAAUAUCAUUGAUAUAUUUUCAAAGGCAAAUGUAUUCUGCCCAUACAAUCACUUUAUACAUUGAUGCAUUAAAGGUACAAAUCUUGUUGUCUUAAGUUUAUUUUUCAAAGCCCAUUAGUUAUUUUUAAUAAAUAUUUCUUCCCAUUA